GAUGAACGCUGGCGGCGUGCCUAAUACAUGCAAGUCGAGCGAACAGACGAGGAGCUUGCUCCUCUGACGUUAGCGGCGGACGGGUGAGUAACACGUGGAUAACCUACCUAUAAGACUGGGAUAACUUCGGGAAACCGGAGCUAAUACCGGAUAAUAUAUUGAACCGCAUGGUUCAAUAGUGAAAGACGGUUUUGCUGUCACUUAUAGAUGGAUCCGCGCCGCAUUAGCUAGUUGGUAAGGUAACGGCUUACCAAGGCAACGAUGCGUAGCCGACCUGAGAGGGUGAUCGGCCACACUGGAACUGAGACACGGUCCAGACUCCUACGGGAGGCAGCAGUAGGGAAUCUUCCGCAAAGGGCGAAAGCUUGACGGAGCAACGCCGCGUGAGUGAUGAAGGUCUUCGGAUCGUAAAACUCUGUUAUUAGGGAAGAACAAAUGUGUAAGUAACUAUGCACGUCUUGACGGUACCUAAUCAGAAAGCCACGGCUAACUACGCG
RNAcentral lists this ribosomal RNA (497 nucleotides) under uncultured bacterium. RNAcentral describes it as "partial 16S ribosomal RNA". It matches the Rfam family "Bacterial small subunit ribosomal RNA", at positions 28 to 507 of the family's 1533-position model. The record is from RNAcentral.